GACGAACCGUGCGAACGUUGUUCGGAGUCACUGGGCUUAAAGGGCGCGUAGGCGGGUUCGCAAGUCCGGGGUGAAAUCUUUCAGCUUAACUGGAAAAGUGCCCCUGAUACUGCGAGUCUCGAGGGAGGUAGGGGCAUGUGGAACUUCCGGUGGAGCGGUGAAAUGCGUAGAUAUCGGAAGGAACGCCGGUGGCGAAAGCGACGUGCUGGACCUCUUCUGACGCUGAGGCGCGAAAGCUAGGGGAGCAAACGGG
RNAcentral lists this ribosomal RNA (253 nucleotides) under uncultured bacterium. Its description in RNAcentral is "partial 16S ribosomal RNA". It matches the Rfam family "Bacterial small subunit ribosomal RNA", at positions 524 to 776 of the family's 1533-position model. The record is from RNAcentral.